GCACUCACUACACACCAGGAGCAACUUGGGGAUUAAGGACCUUGCCCAAGGGCCCUUAGUGAUUUACUGGUCUGGUUGGGGUUUUAACUGAGGAUCCUCU
Thalassophryne amazonica is the source of this 100-nucleotide long non-coding RNA. RefSeq lists it as uncharacterized. The record is from RefSeq and is a predicted model, not a curated record. Lineage: Eukaryota; Metazoa; Chordata; Actinopteri; Batrachoidiformes; Batrachoididae. The transcript has 3 exons.